Long non-coding RNA from Saccostrea cuccullata (small rock oyster), 797 nucleotides. RefSeq lists it as uncharacterized. The record is from RefSeq and is a predicted model, not a curated record. The transcript is spliced from 3 exons. Lineage: Eukaryota; Metazoa; Mollusca; Bivalvia; Ostreida; Ostreidae.
AUGACAGUUUUACGUGUCAAAAAUUAGCCUUGGUCAUCAACAAAAAACAUCUAUAAAUACUACGGCUGCUGCAGUGACUUCUUCAUAAGCACAGAAAACAAUUAAGAUGCUAAGAAUACUGCUGGUGGUUGCCCUUGUCGUUUUUAUUCAGCACUGUGAAGGUCAAGUCGGCCGUGGGGGUCAAGGUGGGCGGGGCAGACAAGGUGGGCGUGGCGGCCCUGGGGGGCGGGGUGGUCGAGGUGGACAAGGUGGACGUGGCGGCCAUGGGGAUCAUGGUCGUGGACAUAUGGGCAGGCAACCUAUUGCCUUCACAGCAUGAAUGUCUGAAAAUGCCACCAAUAUUCAACCUGAUGACACAAUACCCUACUCGAUGAAUGUCGUCAACAGUGGAAAUGCUUUUCAAAAUAAUGUCUUCACUGCACCAAAGCCCGGGGUCUAUUUCUUCACGUGGAGUGUUACCUCGCUUCCAAACUUUCCUGUUGACACAGCAUUGGUGAAGAACAACGAUACAAUAGCCGUACUCUCUUGUCAUAACUUCUCUAACCCCGGGAAAAGAAACACGUGUUCUCAAUCGACGACUGUCCAACUAACGGCCGGUGAUCAAGUUUCGGUCAGAGCAACGGAAACCAUGGACAUUAUGAGCGCUUCUUUCUGGCCUUCGUUUUCUGGAUUUAAAUUGUAACAAUAAAAAUAAACUUUGCAAGGAAAAGUGAUAAAAAUGUAUUUGUCUGCCUUAAUGUUUAUGUCCCAAUUUUUUAUGUACAUUUAUAUUUUUAAAUAAAAGAAUUAGAAAAGAU